This 481-nucleotide ribosomal RNA is filed under the name uncultured bacterium. Its description in RNAcentral is "SSU rRNA". It matches the Rfam family "Bacterial small subunit ribosomal RNA", at positions 26 to 517 of the family's 1533-position model. The record is from RNAcentral.
AGGACGAACGCUGGCGGCGUGCCUAACACAUGCAAGUCGAACGCGCUCCAUUCGGUAGCAAUACUGAUGAAGAGUGAGUGGCGAACGGGUGAGUAGCACGUGAGCAACCUGCCCCGAAGACUGGGACAACACCGGGAAACCGGUGCUAAUACCGGAUACCCUUAUUGGACCGCAUGAUCCGAUAAGGAAAUGGAUUCCGCUUCGGGAGGGGCUCGCGGCCUAUCAGCUUGUUGGUGGGGUAAUGGCCUACCAAGGCUUCGACGGGUAGCUGGUCUGAGAGGACGAUCAGCCACACUGGGACUGAGACACGGCCCAGACUCCUACGGGAGGCAGCAGUGGGGAAUCUUGCGCAAUGGGCGAAAGCCUGACGCAGCAACGCCGCGUGGAGGACGAAUGCUUUCUGAGUUGUAAACUCCUUUCAGCAGGGACGAUAGUGACGGUACCUGCAGAAGAGCACCGGCCAACUACGCGCCAGCAGCCG